RNAcentral lists this ribosomal RNA (253 nucleotides) under uncultured prokaryote. RNAcentral's name for it is "partial 16S ribosomal RNA". It matches the Rfam family "Bacterial small subunit ribosomal RNA", at positions 525 to 777 of the family's 1533-position model. The record is from RNAcentral.
ACGUAGGUGGCGAGCGUUGUCCGGAAUUACUGGGUGUAAAGGGCGCGUAGGCGGGGAUGCAAGUCAGAUGUGAAAUUCCGGGGCUUAACCCCGGCGCUGCAUCUGAAACUGUAUCUCUUGAGUGCUGGAGAGGAAAGCGGAAUUCCUAGUGUAGCGGUGAAAUGCGUAGAUAUUAGGAGGAACACCAGUGGCGAAGGCGGCUUUCUGGACAGUAACUGACGCUGAGGCGCGAAAGCGUGGGGAGCAAACAGGA